Molecule: non-coding RNA, 72 nt
Organism: Physocladia obscura
Lineage: Eukaryota; Fungi; Chytridiomycota; Chytridiomycetes; Chytridiales; Chytriomycetaceae
Source: the annotation of a GenBank genome assembly
GGAUCGAUAGCUCAGUGGUAGAGCGUGGGACUGCAAAUCCUGAGGUCGUGGGAUCAACCCCCACUCGGUCCU